AGAGGGCUCCCCGCCUGGCCGCGGCUGACUCUGUCCUCCCUGGGGUGACUCUUAGCACUGUUUUACCCCUGUCUCCGUGCCUUCUGUGUCUCCUGGCGGCCUGUGCAUCUCCCAUACGUCCCACGCAGACCGGCACACACCAGGGUGCGGCGUGGCAGACGGUGUGCGGCGCGGCGGCGGCAGCGAUGCGCACCAACCUCAAGACGCGCGUUGUGGGGCAGCGGGUGGAGCUGGUGCCCUACCGCAGCGUGCACGUGGAGCGCUACCACCAGUGGAUGUCCAGCGAGGAGCUGCGGACGCUGACGGCCUCGCACCGCCUCACCCUGGAGGAGGAGCACCGCAUGCAGGCCUCCUGGAUGUCUGACGAGGACAAGUGCACCUUCAUCAUCCUGGACCGCGCCCUGCUGGCCACGCGCGGCUCCGAGACGGAGGCCAUGAUCGGCGACACCAACCUCUUCCUGACGGACCCCGAGGACCGCAGCGUGGCGGAGGCGGAGAUCAUGAUCGCCGAGCCGGCCCUGCGCGGCACGCGGCGGGGAUGGGAGGCCAUGCUGCUCAUGCUGCGGUACGGCGCCGAGUACCUGGGCGUCACCAGGUACCAGGCCAAGAUCGGGGAGGGCAACACGCCCAGCAUCAACAUGUUCACCAAGAUGCACUUCAGCGAGGUGGGGCGCUCCGAGGCCUUCCAGGAGGUGACGCUGGAGGUGGUGGUGGACGAGGGCUGGCGGGGCUGGCUGCGGCAGAACACCCCGGCCUUCCAGUGCCUCCCCUACACCCCCGAGGACGAGUAGUGGUGCCCGGGGUGCCGGCGUAGUGGUGUGCUUGUUGGGGUGGUGUGCUUGUGUGGGUGUGUGCUCUGUCUCUCUCUCUCUCUCUCUAUCUCUAUCUCUCUGUCUAAGUGUCUCCCAUCUUUAUUCCUUCAUUUUGCUUGGUUCUGCUUUUGUUAGUGUGGUUUUUCCAUGCCUUGUGUGUGUGUUGGUGUGUCCCCUCUCUCUCUCUCUCUCUCUCUCUCUCUCUCUCUCUCUCUCUCUCUCUCUCUCUCUCUCUCUCUCUCUGUCUCUGUCUCUGUCUCUGUGUGUGUGUACGUCUGUGCCUCUGUUCUGUACUGUUGUCACUUGAUAUAAGGUUUCAUAAUGUGAUCUCUUCUCCUUGUGUGCCUUCUCUCUCUCUCACCUCUCUCUUCUGCUCUGUCUUGUCACCAUUUCACUCUCAUUGAUGUAUGGAUGAACACACACACACACACACACACACACACACACACACACACACACACACACACACACACACACAAAAUUGCUAAGAUUAAGAGAGAGAGAGAGAGAGAGAGAGAGAGAGAGAGAGAGAGAGAGAGAGAGAGAGAGAGAGAGAGAGCGCUCUAAUACCUGCCCUGUUUUAAGGGUACCACUAUUAAGGGCUGUGUUUGGUGCUUGGCAGGGGAGGGGAGGUGGGGGGAGAGGAGCCCCUUACUACUAGGAGGGGAAGGGUAGGCCCGGGGGAGGUAGGGGCUGUGAUAUAGAAAAUGGGGAUACUGAUAAAUCUUUGUUAUUUAUUUAGAAUGAGGUUAUUGUAGAUUGAUUUAGUUAUUUAUUGUUUAUUUUGAGUGGUUGCAGUGUGUGUGUGUGUUUGUGUUUGUUUAGGUGAGGUUUGGGAAAAGUUAUUGGUUUAUUUAUUUAUUUUUUAUCUAUUUAUUUAUUUUUUUUUUUAAGGAAGGUUUAGAGGAGAGAAAACUAAGGUAAUUUGUACAUUGUUAGCGUGUGGCCUGAGCAUCAGCAGUGAUUCUCUAUGUGUGUGUGUGGUGCUGUGUACAGUGGUGUGCUGUGAGUGGUGUCAGUGUGUGGAGGGGCUGGGGGGGAGUGCUGGCUUGUGCUGCCUCCACACUUAACACUGAUUGUCAAGAGAUACUGAACUAAAUAUUCCUUUCUUUUUUUGUUUUUCAUUUUAGUCUGCUUCUAUCACUCAACAAUUAUUAUUAUUAUUUAUUUAUUUAUUUUAUUUUAUUUUAUCUUAUUUUAUUUAUUUUUUUUCUUAGUUUUUUUUUUUUUUUUUUAAGUGCUUAAUUGUGCAUUCGUAAGUCAAGAUAAAAGAGUUAUCUAUAUAAUUAUUCAUGUAUUUGUUUUGAUUUUCUAUUUGUUAUUUUGUUGUUUCAAAAUUUCAUGACUUGAAUGGAGAUGGAAGAUGCUGUUGUUUACUUUCCUCUCUAAUUACGAAUUUUUUAAAUCAAGAAGGGAGAACAACACUUAUUUUUCAUUUCAAUUUACUCUUUCAUUAUAUUCAUUUAUUUAUUUAUUUAUUUAUUUUAUUUUUUUAUUUUAUUUAUUGUUUUAUUUCUUUUAUUUUUUAUUUUAUUUAUUUUUUUAUUUAUUUUAUUUUUUUAUUUUUUUGCAUCUAUUUUGUUUUUGGUGACUAGAAAUGUUGGUAAAUGAAAGCGCCACAAACCAGCACUGUCCAUCACCACGCCUCACUCCAGGUAUCAAUAAGGCAGACGGAUUUAUUUUUGUAAAGGCCGUAGAGUUAACGCAGCGCCGGGAGGACGUGCCAGUGGGGAGCGUUCAAAUGAGUGUCUGAUUCGUUGCUCUUAAUGGAAGCUGCAUCAGGUUACUCGAGUUACCCAAUCAGGAGGUGACAUUCCCAUAACAAAGGCAGCAAGCCCUCCCAUUGGUCGUCGAACGCGUGCCCUGCUGGGAUUGGCUGCCGGAGGGUAUAUAAAGGGGGGACUCCAGGCGGGAGGGUCUCAGUGCCACGGGAGGUCUGGAAGAGAGAGGAUUGUCAGUCAUCCAGCCAGCUUCCGGAACUUAAGGUGACAGCGGCGGCCAUGACAGACACCCGAGCGUGGGCGUGGGUCGUGGGCGUGUUAGUGGUGGUGGUGGUGACGGGGGCGGCUUUCCCUCCCGCUCCCAUGAACGAGGUGGGAGCACUGGGGGAGGGGGGAAUCGCCCCCCUUCUCUUCCCCCACCCCCAGUACCCUCUCCCCAGGAAAAGAUACUUGGGCAUCGAACUCCCAGACUUCAUAGCAGCAGGCAAGGGCUUGGGAGACCUGAAGGAACGCAUGAUGACGUCAGGCAAGUAGCGGAAGUGACGUCAUGCAGCGCCAGCCAAUGCCAGCACUUCUCAGCCUGUGACGUCACUCCCAGCCAGGCAAUAACAUCACGGCAUAGACCAGUGACGUCAUAUCCACCUGGUGACGUCAUUGCCUUCCAGAUCGUCCUUUUAAGUUUUGUUUCAUGGAAUUAUUCGUCUGUUUAUUGGUAUGUGUUGUGAGUUAUCGUCUUUUUAAGGUUUUAUUCUACUUUUCAUAUGUAUCUCAGUAUUUGUAGUGGGUUAAUAUACUUAUUCCUUCACCUAUGUUAGUAUGUGCGGUGCUCUCACUCUCUAUUAGUAAGGUUUGAUUUUAUCUGAAUUUAUACAAUGUGGCCAAAAUACAAAUGAUUCAGUACACGCAGCCUUACUGAUUUUACUGCUGUGUGUGUGUGUGUGUGUGUGUGUGUGUGUGUGUGUGUGUGUGUGUGUGAGAGAGAGAGAGGGGUUGAGUAAAAAAGAAAAUGGAUAAAGAAAACUAGAUGCCUCACACAUCAGUGGGUUGUUAGGGUGAAAAGACGCCCUGAUCACCUUGACUUUCCCACGUCGUGCAAGCUCUUCAUGAACCAUCACACCACACCACUCAUGUUGUCAAUAAACUUUGCAGCAGAAGUGUAGAUAACCUUAGUCGUAAUAUCUACUGAAAAUCAAGAUGGAUUGUUCAACACUUUUUACUUUGUUCCUUAAACAUUACAUUGAUAGAAUAUAAGGUAACACUGAAUAGCAAAGAGGUGUGGUCUGAGCUAAAACUGAUGACUGUCCUGUGCCACGUGUCUGAACACUGCCCCUGAUGUGUACCACGAGUUUUCCUCUUAUAAAAAUAUAUAGAUAUGCUUCUUGCUCCAACGUGGGGUGGUCAAGACGAUGGGCCCCUUCACGCGGGCGGUUUGGUCGGGGAGGCGGCUUUGCCAGUGGGCCUCCACACGACAAUUCGAUGCACACGACAAAGGCCGCGAGUCACCAGUCCCUGCAACCAAUCGCAACAGUUUGGAACCUUUUCACACCAGCGACAUUGUGCCGCUGAAGCACACCGCUGCGAGGGAAGAGAAGGAAAGAGGAUGAAAAGUAAGAGAAGGGAGUGGUGGGCUGUGAAACACCUAAUGAAGCAAAGUGAGAAAGAAUGGCAGAGGAGAGAGGUUCAAGAUCUGGUUGAAGGCGGCUCAGUGGUGUACAACGCUGCUCCACCAUCACCCACGCAGGUGUUGUGGGACGCAGCCGCAGUCCUUGAUGCAGCAGAGCCAGGCUGAGUGAGCCGCACCACUGCCUCUCACCACCAACCCUCUUCUCACACGGCUCACUCACUCACAACCCACCCAGUCACACAUUUUGACCACGUUUUGACUGCACUGCCGAGUCACACGACCUAACCAGCCGUGUGGAAGGGCCAACGGCACAGCACAGUGGCUCUAUACAGCAACAGACAGCCUUUAAAAUCCCCCUUUAUUAUCUGGCCUUGCUGUGUUGCUAACCUAACCACAGCAUCACUCCAUUACCUGUGUCAGCUGUGGCUACAGCAAUCACAGCAUUGGAGAGACACACUUUUCCAACAGGAAUACAUCAAACAAUUAUAUAAGUUGUAUUUUUUUUUAUUUGUUUUGGGUUUUGCUCCUCCUCACCAGAGUCUUGAAGUCUUUGGUGUAUGACCUGCACAGCGCUGCGGAGUCUGUGGCUGCAAUUCACAUGACAGUAGCUUUUUGAGAGGGUUGUGACGUGUGUGUGUGUGUGUGUGUGUGUGUGUGUGUGUGUGUGUGUGUGUGUGUGUGUGU
Scylla paramamosain (green mud crab) is the source of this 4841-nucleotide RNA transcript. It is a transcript of the gene named alpha/beta-tubulin-N-acetyltransferase 9-like, with no coding region annotated. The transcript has 5 exons. Lineage: Eukaryota; Metazoa; Arthropoda; Malacostraca; Decapoda; Portunidae. The record is from RefSeq and is a predicted model, not a curated record.